GACGAACGCUGGCGGCGUGCUUAACACAUGCGAGUCGAACGGAAAGGCCCUGCUUUUGUGGGGUGCUCGAGUGGCGAACGGGGGAGUAACACGUGAGUAACCUGCCCUUGACUUUGGGAUAACUUCAGGAAACUGGGGCUAAUACCGGGUAGGUGCUCCUGCUGCAUGGUGGGGGUUGGAAAGUUUCGGCGGUUGGGGAUGGACUGGCGGCUUAUCAGCUUGUUGGUGGGGUAGUGGCUUACCAAGGCUUUGACGGGUAGCCGGCCUGAGAGGGUGACCGGCCACAUUGGGACUGAGAUACGGCCCAGACGCCUACGGGAGGCAGCAGUGGGGAAUAUUGCACAAUGGGCGGAAGCCUGAUGCAGCAACGCCGCGUGCGGGAUGACGGCCUUCGGGUUGUAAACCGCUUUCGCCGGUGACGAAGCGUGAGUGACGGUAAUGGGUAAAGAAGCACCGGCUAACUACGUG
This 468-nucleotide ribosomal RNA is filed under the name uncultured bacterium. RNAcentral's name for it is "partial 16S ribosomal RNA". It matches the Rfam family "Bacterial small subunit ribosomal RNA", at positions 28 to 507 of the family's 1533-position model. The record is from RNAcentral.